UCGCAAUGCCCGAAAAGGGUGACGAAGCGACGCCGCGUGUGGGAAGAAGGCCUUCGGGUUGUAAACCACUGUCGGGAGUUAAGAAAUGUAAGGAUGUUAAUAGCGUCCUUACUUGACUAAGGCUCCGGAGGAAGCCACGGCUAACUCUGUGCCAGCAGCCGCGGUAAUACAGAGGUGGCAAGCGUUGUUCGGAAUUAUUGGGCGUAAAGAGCACGUAGGCGGCCUUGAAAGUCAGUUGUGAAAGCCUUCCGCUUAACGGAAGAACAGCAUCUGAUACUACAGGGCUUGAGUGCGGGAGGGGAGAGUGGAACUUCUGGUGGAGCGGUGAAAUGCGUAGAUAUCAGAAGGAACGCCGGCGGCGAAAGCGGCUCUCUGGCCCGUAACUGACGCUGAGUGUGCGAAAGCUAGGGGAUCAAACGGGAUUAGAUACCCCGGUAGUCCUAGCCGUAAACGAUGGGCACUAA
Molecule: ribosomal RNA, 464 nt
Filed under: uncultured anaerobic ammonium-oxidizing bacterium
Lineage: Bacteria
Description: bacterial SSU rRNA
Rfam family: Bacterial small subunit ribosomal RNA
Source: RNAcentral